CCUACGGGAGGCAGCAGUAGGGAAUAUUGCUCAAUGGGGGAAACCCUGAAGCAGCAACGCCGCGUGGAGGAUGAAGGUUUUCGGAUUGUAAACUCCUUUUGUUAGAGAAGAUAAUGACGGUAUCUAACGAAUAAGCACCGGCUAACUCCGUGCCAGCAGCCGCGGUAAUACGGAGGGUGCAAGCGUUACUCGGAAUCACUGGGCGUAAGGAGCGCGUAGGCGGGAUAGCAAGUCAGAUGUGAAAUCCUAUGGCUUAACCAUAGAACUGCAUUUGAAACUGUUAUUCUAGAGUAUGGGAGAGGUAGGUGGAAUUCUUGGUGUAGGGGUAAAAUCCGUAGAGAUCAAGAGGAACACCGGUGGCGAAGGCGGCCUGCUGGACUGCAACUGACGUUGAGGCCCGAAAGCGUGGGGAGCAAACAGGAUUAGAUACCCUAGUAGUC
Molecule: ribosomal RNA, 440 nt
Filed under: uncultured bacterium
Lineage: Bacteria
Description: partial 16S ribosomal RNA
Rfam family: Bacterial small subunit ribosomal RNA
Source: RNAcentral